CAUAUCAUUACCGUAUUGACUUCUCACUUCUCUGUAUUUAACAAUCAAUCUCCUUUGUAAACUCUAAAACUAUGUAACAAAUUUACUUGAAAUAUUUUCUCCCUUUUGAUUUUGAAGGCUAACAGUCGGGAAUAGUCACGUUAAUGGGAGAUCUAGAUCGAUAUAUCACCACCGUCCACCCGCAAGGCAUGAAAAACGACAAGGCUUGCGAUCCUCGAAACGCCGCUGCACACAGAACCCUAGCGUUCAUCUCCAGUUUAUAAUUCGUCACGCUUAUCGAUGACGACUACGGAAUAAAAGGACUACGCGAAAGAAGAUCUUGCAAGGAUUUAUUAAGGACGUCAACGGCAGCAAAGAUGACUACAGUAUGGAUCCACUUUCUGAAUUGUGUAAGGUUUUCGUAUUUGCAACCAAAAGUAAUUUCCAAAGACCUUCGUUAUUCUUGAAAUUCUAGAAUUUCAUUCUUUUAGUGCAAAAUAUUGUCAAUUAGGGAGAUUUUCACAAAGAUAAGAGUCGCCAUGUGUGGAACUUAACUUUUUCA
Arabidopsis lyrata subsp. lyrata is the source of this 541-nucleotide long non-coding RNA. RefSeq lists it as uncharacterized. The record is from RefSeq and is a predicted model, not a curated record. NCBI's taxonomy places the organism in Eukaryota, Viridiplantae, Streptophyta, Magnoliopsida, Brassicales, Brassicaceae. The transcript has 2 exons.